This 727-nucleotide ribosomal RNA is filed under the name uncultured archaeon. Its description in RNAcentral is "bacterial SSU rRNA". It matches the Rfam family "Archaeal small subunit ribosomal RNA", at positions 150 to 879 of the family's 1478-position model. The record is from RNAcentral.
ACCACUAUUGAUCAUAGUGCCUGGAAUGGCUUAUGGUCCAAACAGUUUACUGCCAUGGGAUGGGACUGCCGCCUAUCAGCUUGUUGGUGAGGUAAUGGCCCACCAAGGCGAUUACAGGUACGGGCUCUGAGAGGAGUAGCCCGGAGAUGGGUACUGAGACACGGACCCAGGCCCUAUGGGGCGCAGCAGGCGAGAAACCUUAGCAAUGUGCGAAAGCACGACUGGGUCAGUCCGAGUGAUUCCUGAUAAAGGAGUCUUUUGCCUGUCCUAAAAGCACAGGUGAAUAAGGGGUGGGCAAGUCUGGUGUCAGCCGCCGCGGUAAUACCAGCACCUCGAGUGGUCAGGACGUUUAUUGGGCCUAAAGCAUCCGCAGCCGGCUUUGCAAGUCUUCGGUUAAAUCCACCUGCUCAACAGAUGGGCCGCUGGAGAUACUACAGAGCUAGGGAGUGGGAGAGGCAGACGGUAUUCAGUGGGUAGGGGUAAAAUCCUCUGAUCCAUUGAGGACCACCAGUGGCGAAGGCGGUCUGCCAGAACACGUUCGACGGUGAGGGAUGAAAGCUGGGGGAGCAAACCGGAUUAGAUACCCGGGUAGUCCCAGCUGUAAACGAUGCAAACUCGGUGAUGCAUUGGCUUAUGGCCAAUGCAGUGCCGCACGGAAGCCGUUACGUUUGCCGCCUGGGAAGUACGGACGCACGUCUGACACUCUAAGGAGUUGGCGGCGGAGCAC